UUGUCCUGGCCUUUGCUUUUUCUGCUUCCCUGUACUCAGUUCUAACAGGGGAGUCUGGCAGGACACACAGCAAUCUCCCUCUCAGUUUAGGAGGGCUGUCCUAAGAAUAGGGCUGGCUCUUAAAGGCACGAGAGGACAGU
Balaenoptera musculus (blue whale) is the source of this 140-nucleotide non-coding RNA. The record is from Ensembl. Lineage: Eukaryota; Metazoa; Chordata; Mammalia; Artiodactyla; Balaenopteridae.